GAACCCUGUUCCGCUCCUCUUGGAACUCCCACCAUGUAGACACUGAGGGCAGGUGUGUUGUGCCUAGUGAAUGCGCUGCUUCUGGCAGAGAAGAAGCUGCUGAACAAAGUCUACAUCCUGAAGGAUAUUGACUGGGGCUUGAGGAAUUAGCAGAAGAAGGGAAAUGGAGGGAACAGGACAAAGGGAGAGAAAAAACCUUAAGGGAGGAAGAAAAGUGAGUCCAAGAGUGUUUAAGCCAUCAAUCAAGGUCCAGGGGGCAGAAUGGACCACGAGGAGAAGCAAAAUCUUCGAGAGACGACAUCUCCGCCAUUUACUCAGGCAAGUUAAUUAACCUCUUUGAAACUGAAUUUUCUUUUCAAAAUGGCAAUUUUUUAAAAGGAAAUAAUUAUAGGGAUGUGAAAAAAAAUACUUAAAAGACGAACUGAGUUCGUUCUGAGAAGAGUGAGCACACACUUGUUGAAGAUAAUAGAUG
RNAcentral lists this long non-coding RNA (472 nucleotides) under Mustela putorius furo (domestic ferret). RNAcentral describes it as "lncRNA (ENSMPUG00000030654.1)". The record is from RNAcentral. Lineage: Eukaryota; Metazoa; Chordata; Mammalia; Carnivora; Mustelidae.